Molecule: ribosomal RNA, 1187 nt
Filed under: uncultured organism
Description: bacterial SSU rRNA
Rfam family: Bacterial small subunit ribosomal RNA
Source: RNAcentral
AUACUCCAUAGAAUUACAAUAUCGCCUGAUAUUGUACUUAAAGCAUUAGCGGUUAAAGAUGAGCAUGCGUGCCAUUAGUUAGUUGGUGAGGUAACGGCUCACCAAGGCAUCGAUGGCUAGGGGUUCUGAGAGGAUGAUCCCCCACACUGGUACUGAGACACGGACCAGACUCCUACGGGAGGCAGCAGUGAGGAAUAUUGGUCAAUGGGCGCAAGCCUGAACCAGCCAUGCCGCGUGCAGGAAGACUGCCCUAUGGGUUGUAAACUGCUUUUCUACAGGAAGAAACUUUGCGACGAGUCGUGAAUUGCCGGUACUGUAGGAAUAAGCAUCGGCUAACUCCGUGCCAGCAGCCGCGGUAAAUACGGAGGAUGCAAGCGUUAUCCGGAUUCAUUGGGUUUAAAGGGUGCGUAGGCGGAAUAGUAAGUCAGUGGUGAAAGGCUGCAGCUUAACUGUAGAAUUGCCAUUGAUACUGUUAUUCUUGAGUGUAGUUGAGGUAGGCGGAAUGUGUAAUGUAGCGGUGAAAUGCUUAGAUAUUACACAGAACACCGAUUGCGUAGGCAGCUUACUAAACUAUAACUGACGCUGAGGCACGAAAGCGUGGGGAGCGAACAGGAUUAGAUACCCUGGUAGUCCACGCUGUAAACGAUGAUCACUCGUUGUUGGCAAUACAUCGUCAGCGACUGAGCGAAAGCAUUAAGUGAUCCACCUGGGGAGUACGUUGGCAACGAUGAAACUCAAAGGAAUUGACGGGGGCCCGCACAAGCGGUGGAACAUGUGGUUUAAUUCGAUGAUACGCGAGGAACCUUACCUGGGCUUAAAUGUAGACUGCAUGUGGUGGAAACAUCACUUUUCCUUUCGGGACCGUCUACAAGGUGCUGCAUGGUUGUCGUUCAGCUCGUGCCGUGAGGUGUCGGGUUAAGUCCCAUAACGAGCGCAACCCCUAUUGUUAGUUGCUAACAGGUAAUGCUGAGGACUCUAGCGAAACUGCCGGUGUAAACCGAGAGGAAGGUGGGGAUGACGUCAAAUCAGCACGGCCAUUAUGUCCAGGGCUACACACGUGUUACAAUGGUUGGUACAGAGGGCAGCUACCGGGCGACCGGAUGCUAAUCUCGAAAGCCAAUCUUAGUUCGGAUCGGAGUCUGCAACUCGACUUCGUGAAGCUGGAAUCGCUAGUAAUCGCGCAUCAG